CUCUAUGUCAGUGGUGAGGGGCUGUGCUACAGCCACACUCUCUCUCCCAGUCAGAGUUCUGUGUUGCCUCCGUUGCUCUAAAAUUACACCUAUGGAGCCGCGGCCCCAACUACCACCAGCUUGCUCAUCCCUCUACUCACACAGUCACCCGUCCCCUCACUCUCAUUUAUGCUUCACCUGUGAAUGGUGGUCCUGGGACAGCCACUGCUGGAGCCCGGGUGAGCCUGGGGGCUCCUCCCACUCUGUCCCUCCCUGAGACAGCCCUCGCCACAGCUCCCGAGCCGGCCACCACGUCCCUGCAUACUUCAUCAUCACCUGUGCCACCAGAAGCCACCACAGCUUUGGGGCACAACCUGAAGACCCUCACAGUCACCUUCCCCAUCUCCACCCUCCAGUAUUCAUCAGACAGGAGCAACGGCUCAGCCACGUUCAACUCCACUGAGAGGGUCCUGCAGAGCCUGGGGACACCCUGGUCCCAGCAGCUCCUGGUGGGUUAAAUCCCACCCAGCCCCUCCCCCAACCCCUGUCCCUCCUGCUCCUCCUCCUCCUCCUUCCUCCCCAGCUGGAUCCUUGUUCAAGAAGAGCAGCCUGGGCCUCUUCUCCUUGAGUUGCAGACUGGUCUCCCUCAGGCCUGUGAAGGAUGGGGCAGCCACCAGUGUGGACGCUGUCUGCAUCCACCACCGUGACCCCGUGGGCCACCAUGCCUCUGUGCUGGGAGCUGAGAGUCUCCACGUGUCUGCUCUUCCUCUCGGUGGCUCCAGGCUCUGCACCCUGGAGUUUAUGCAUGCAGAGAGAACACCAGCUGCAUUUCCGCAGCAUCAGCUGGAACCUCAGCAACCCGGAGCCCACAUCCUCGGAGUACACCGCCCUGCUGAGGGUCA
This is an RNA transcript of Diceros bicornis minor, 881 nucleotides long. It is a transcript of the gene named mucin-5AC-like, with no coding region annotated. The transcript has 5 exons. NCBI's taxonomy places the organism in Eukaryota, Metazoa, Chordata, Mammalia, Perissodactyla, Rhinocerotidae. The record is from RefSeq and is a predicted model, not a curated record.